AAGAACAGGCGCCGGCCUCGGCGUCCGCCGCGCAGUUAGGAAACUGACUGUCGCUCUCUCCGGCCUCGGCGCUGCUUCGGACGCCCCGGCACCGGCCCCCGUUGCUUUGUAGCAUUCUGCAGCUGGGCUGCAGGCGCCGUGGGCCUCCGCCAGUUGUGUUCGAGACGCGGUUCGGCCACAGAAGUUUUAGCUUGUGACUUUUGGCAAGUCAGUGGCCCUCUCUGGGCCUCAGGUGCCUUUUUUGCUGUGAGACCAGCGACUGUAUUUUUAACCCUGAUUUUAUCCCUAGAUCUACCCAACACAUAGUAGGUGCUCAAAAGAUAUUUAUGAGUGAAUGAAUGCAUCAUGAGAAGAAAUUGGACCAGAUGAGGCCCUGUGAAGCUGCUUGGGUCUUUUUUUGUUCUUUUUUUUUUCUCUCUUCUGAGUGUCCCUGGCCUGGACUAGAAAUUCUCCAUCCUUCGGCCUUCUGCGAGACUGCAGGAACAUUACUUUUGAAGGAUGCUAAGGAAUCCGAGGGAUGAAAAAAAUCAAGAGAUUGCAAUGAUGUCACAAAACAAGGAAACAAGUGCAGCAUCUUCACUCCGAAGCAGAAAUUUGCCAAAAAAGCAUCCUCUUUUUAUCAGAAAAUAAAAUAUCCUGGUUUCUUAGCCUGGCA
Molecule: long non-coding RNA, 655 nt
Filed under: Homo sapiens (human)
Lineage: Eukaryota; Metazoa; Chordata; Mammalia; Primates; Hominidae
Description: non-protein coding lnc-AHSP-5:3
Source: RNAcentral